Oreochromis aureus is the source of this 285-nucleotide long non-coding RNA. RefSeq lists it as uncharacterized. The record is from RefSeq and is a predicted model, not a curated record. NCBI's taxonomy places the organism in Eukaryota, Metazoa, Chordata, Actinopteri, Cichliformes, Cichlidae. The transcript has 3 exons.
AUGUAGCAUGACACAUAAAAAGGACCGAGCUCACAGAAGGAACGUAUUUCUACCUGCUACAUUAUCCACAUUUUGAACGACAAUGGACAGAACCAGCUACUUUUAUGAACAGCAGCUUGAAUGCACCUGCUGCACGGAGGAUCGCCAGGACCAAAAGGUUUCUCUAGCUUUCAACACUUAAACCAGCCCUAACCACCGGCCCACCUCAGAUAGCUCCCCCACCCAGCCUCUGUGGCCACAGUUGGCAUGGGGGCAUCAGUUCUUCAGGCAGAAACUGGCUUCCAG